RNAcentral lists this ribosomal RNA (527 nucleotides) under uncultured bacterium. RNAcentral's name for it is "partial 16S ribosomal RNA". It matches the Rfam family "Bacterial small subunit ribosomal RNA", at positions 355 to 874 of the family's 1533-position model. The record is from RNAcentral.
UGGGGAAUAUUGCACAAUGGGCGCAAGCCUGAUGCAGCCAUGCCGCGUGUGUGAAGAAGGCCUUCGGGUUGUAAAGCACUUUCAGCGAGGAGGAAGGUGGUGGACUUAAUACGUUCAUCAAUUGACGUUACUCGCAGAAGAAGCACCGGCUAACUCCGUGCCAGCAGCCGCGGUAAUACGGAGGGCGCAAGCGUUAAUCGGAAUUACUGGGCGUAAAGCGCACGCAGGCGGUUUGUUAAGUCAGAUGUGAAAUCCCCGGGCUCAACCUGGGAACUGCAUUUGAAACUGGCAAGCUAGAGUCUCGUAGAGGGGGGUAGAAUUCCAGGUGUAGCGGUGAAAUGCGUAGAGAUCUGGAGGAAUACCGGUGGCGAAGGCGGCCCCCUGGACGAAGACUGACGCUCAGGUGCGAAAGCGUGGGGAGCAAACAGGAUUAGAUACCCUGGUAGUCCACGCUGUAAACGAUGUCGAUUUUGGAGGUUGUGCCCUUGAGGCGUGGNUUCCGAGCUAACGCGUUAAAUCGACCGCCU